AAACAUGCCUUUGAAUUGGAAAGCCAGAACUUUUUUUUUGCAAAAUAAUUCAAAAAGUUUGUUGAACCUUAAACCUUUCCUGAUGACUCUUUCCUUCUGAACUUCACUCGUUAAAAGUUGC
This 121-nucleotide long non-coding RNA is filed under the name Mus pahari (shrew mouse). RNAcentral describes it as "sRNA (MGP_PahariEiJ_G0007945.1)". It matches the Rfam family "KCNQ1 overlapping transcript 1 conserved region 3". The record is from RNAcentral. Lineage: Eukaryota; Metazoa; Chordata; Mammalia; Rodentia; Muridae.